This 231-nucleotide unclassified non-coding RNA is filed under the name plant metagenome. RNAcentral describes it as "partial contains small subunit ribosomal RNA, internal transcribed spacer 1, and 5.8S ribosomal RNA". The record is from RNAcentral.
GCUCCGUUGGUGAACCAGCGGAGGGAUCAUUACAGAGUUGCAAAACUCCCAAACCAUUGUGAACGUUACCUAUCCCGUUGCUUCGGCGGGCGGCCCGGGCCCCGCGCCCGGCGCCCCCCGGCCCCCCGUGGGCGCCCGCCGGAGGUAAACCAAACCCUUGAAUUGCAUGGCCUCUCUGAGUCUUCUGUACUGAAUAAGUCAGAACUUUCAACAACGGAUCUCUUGGUUCUG